This 314-nucleotide unclassified non-coding RNA is filed under the name Hevea brasiliensis (rubber tree). Lineage: Eukaryota; Viridiplantae; Streptophyta; Magnoliopsida; Malpighiales; Euphorbiaceae. The record is from RNAcentral.
GUCUCGAUACAGUCCUUAAUGGCACCUGCUUCCCGAGAUCGGAGAGACUUGGCUCCGAUGGAUGAGAGGCGGGAGACGAAGACAGCAGCAGCACGGGCACGGUCGGCACUGACGGUGAGGGCGACGUGGGCGAGCUGACGGGGGCUGUGGCGGACGACGGGGGCGAAUGAGGAGAGGGAUUGGAUGCAGAGGGCGGGGUAGCGGGUGGCCCGGCAGGAGGAGCGGAUGAAGCUAGAGGGCACCGGCGCUGCCGCGGAGGCGGCGGCAGCGACGGCGCAGAGGAGGAGGAGGGCGAUGAGGACGGUGGCGGUUUU